Molecule: ribosomal RNA, 61 nt
Filed under: uncultured bacterium
Lineage: Bacteria
Description: partial 16S ribosomal RNA
Source: RNAcentral
GGUUUUUAGGCGAGGUGGUGCGAUUUGGCAUUAUCGAACCUGAGAGUCAGCAACGAGGGAG